ACGGGGAGCACCACAACAGGUGGAGCCUGCGGUUAAUCGGACUCAACGCCGGAAAUCUCACCGGAUAAGACAGCUGGAUGAUAGCCGGGCUGAAGACUCUACUUGACUAGCUGAGAGGAGGUGCAUGGCCGUCGUCAGUUCGUACUGUGAAGCAUCCUGUUAAGUCAGGCAACGAGCGAGACCCACGCCAACAGUUGCCAGCUCGUCCUCCGGGAUGGUGGGGACACUGUUGGGACCGCCUCUGCUAAAGAGGAGGAAGGAAUGGGCAACGGUAGGUCAGCAUGCCCCGAAUUAUCUGGGCUACACGCGGGCUACAAUGGGUGGGACAAUGGGUAUCGACACCGAAAGGUGAAGGCAAUCUCCUAAACCCAUCCGUAGUUCGGAUUGUGGGCUGCAACUCGCCCACAUGAAGCUGGAAUCUGUAGUAAUCGUGUCUCAAAAUGGCACGGUGAAUAUGUCCCUGCUCCUU
Molecule: ribosomal RNA, 469 nt
Filed under: uncultured Methanomicrobiales archaeon
Lineage: Archaea; Methanobacteriati; Methanobacteriota; Methanomicrobia; Methanomicrobiales
Description: bacterial SSU rRNA
Rfam family: Archaeal small subunit ribosomal RNA
Source: RNAcentral